This is a small RNA of Carnobacterium maltaromaticum LMA28, 181 nucleotides long. It matches the Rfam family "Listeria sRNA rli28". The record is from Rfam. Lineage: Bacteria; Bacillati; Bacillota; Bacilli; Lactobacillales; Carnobacteriaceae.
UGCAACAUGCUAUAAUUAUCUUGUAGAAAGUUAAAUGGAUGGUGGCUAGCUCGUUGUAAAAAGGGGGCGAUGCCUAUGUUUUUAGUGUUUGCUCCUAGAAAGGAUUAAACGUGUCAGUUUUUGAAGCGUUGAUGUUCGCACUUACGUUCACAACUCUGGCUUUAAAAAUUUAUGAUCAUAA